RNAcentral lists this long non-coding RNA (772 nucleotides) under Anas platyrhynchos platyrhynchos (common mallard). Its description in RNAcentral is "lncRNA (ENSAPLG00000023598.1)". Lineage: Eukaryota; Metazoa; Chordata; Aves; Anseriformes; Anatidae. The record is from RNAcentral.
CUUCAGUGUCUGUUUGGAGUGACUCAUAAUAGUCAUAAUCUGCUAAAAACAUAAUCUGUUUAAAAAAAAACAAAUAAAAUUUAGAAAAACUUGACUUUGGGCAUUUGGCCUUAGCUGUCUACAGUUCAUGGAUAAUCUUUCCUGUGUUACUUUAUAACUUUAAUCCCCACCUUUGCCCUCCAUAUAUUGUCUACAAGUAAAACAACAGCCUGUAAAAAGGCUGCCUUUUUAUUCAGAUUAAUAACAUCCUAAAUCAUGGUCCUCUUCUCAGCAUUUUAUUUCAGACUACAGGAUUCCAAAAACUUUUGUAACUAACACAUCAGGAACGGUAAUACCUGGAAACUCCCCUUACAGUUUGUCAAAGGUAAUUUUCUAUGCUCUGAGUGAAUCAACUCUUGUAAAUUAGGUAUUUCUCCACUUACAUCACAGUUCUCUGGCAGGUAUCUAUACCCAUUGGAAAUUAUGCAGAUUCUCAACUUUUCUUUGAACAAAAAUGUCCUGGAAUGGAAAAUUCACCAUUUUAUUUCCUUACAAUAGAACUAUGCUCGAAGGGAAACACCACCUGUUCCUAGCAGAUGGUAAAUUAGCAUUGAAAAAGAUCACCUGUACUGGAAACCCCCCCUAUUUUCUAAUUCUACCACCAGGAGGUAAAUCAGCACUCAGUGCCUAUUCAUCACCCUUACAAGAAUUGUGCCAAGCCUGUGUCAUAGCAAAAUGGAUUUGGAGAAGGACUUGCAUCCUGCUAUGCUCUGACAUCUACCCAGUUCUAUGA